CGUUGGAGGGCUUCUACUUUGAAGUCUUAUGGAGGUAUCAAAAUUAUCAGUUCAUGAUUUUCAUGAUGGUAUAUGACUUCUGAUCUUCUCUUGUUUUGCAUGCUUUUGAUAUUUGAUUGUAAUCAUCAAGGGAUUCCUAGGAUUUUUGUGUUUCCGUAGACUAGUUUAAAUGUUAAACUUUAUUUUUAAUAGUUGAAUGCAUAUAAAAUUUUUUUGAAAUUUAUAUCC
RNAcentral lists this long non-coding RNA (228 nucleotides) under Elaeis guineensis (African oil palm). Its description in RNAcentral is "long non-coding RNA (EGUI_LNC052176)". The record is from RNAcentral. Lineage: Eukaryota; Viridiplantae; Streptophyta; Magnoliopsida; Arecales; Arecaceae.